AUCUGUAUUCUGAAUCAACCUAAGCAGGAAAACCCAAAGGAAACUUAUUUGGCAUCUUUUCAAGGAAAUGUAUAAAUAUUCUUCUAUCGUGUGUUCCUUGUCAGGCUGCAAAGUUGUCAUGUAGCUCUGCACAGAACAAGGCCAGAACUAGGAGUUUUCCAAUAGCUGUGUAUAUUAGGCUUUCACUGCAGAAUCUGUUGCCAGUACGCAAUAACUGCUAAUGGAUGGCUGUGUUCUUGAGACCUGUUAUCCGCUAGAUCCAUUAAUUAGUGCUGUAAUACUUCCACAAGCUGUGAAUAGCCCCCUGGGCUUAGGGUAGCUCUCUUGAAGAGGCUCUGUCCUAUGUUACACUCUUAGAGAAAUAACUGUAGAUUCCAGAGCCUUAUGUUAUAUGUCUGACCUUAUUGCUUAAUAGAAUUAUAACCUUCAUGCAAUACAAACCAUGUCUGAGUAUCUCAUAAUUGCAGAGUAGAAGUUUUAGCCGACACACUUUGGCAGUACGUGCUUCCUGUGCAUUAUGAUUCCACCUUUAGGUAGCGCAGAUAUCUGGUGUAAUUGUGCCUGUGUGUCUUGGUUGGUUUUAGUUUUUCUAACUGUGGCAGUGUUUCUUGGUUGAAAUUAGUA
Molecule: non-coding RNA, 624 nt
Organism: Pelobates cultripes (western spadefoot toad)
Lineage: Eukaryota; Metazoa; Chordata; Amphibia; Anura; Pelobatidae
Source: the annotation of a GenBank genome assembly